This 519-nucleotide ribosomal RNA is filed under the name Ilyonectria destructans. Its description in RNAcentral is "LSU rRNA". It matches the Rfam family "Eukaryotic large subunit ribosomal RNA", at positions 80 to 624 of the family's 3401-position model. The record is from RNAcentral. RNAcentral also lists the same sequence under 1 other name. Lineage: Eukaryota; Fungi; Ascomycota; Sordariomycetes; Hypocreales; Nectriaceae.
CUAGUAACGGCGAGUGAAGCGGCAACAGCUCAAAUUUGAAAUCUGGCCCUCGGGUCCGAGUUGUAAUUUGUAGAGGAUGCUUUUGGUGAGGUACCUUCCGAGUUCCCUGGAACGGGACGCCAUAGAGGGUGAGAGCCCCGUCUGGUUGGAUACCGAUCCUCUGUAAAGCUCCUUCGACGAGUCGAGUAGUUUGGGAAUGCUGCUCUAAAUGGGAGGUAUAUGUCUUCUAAAGCUAAAUAUUGGCCAGAGACCGAUAGCGCACAAGUAGAGUGAUCGAAAGAUGAAAAGCACUUUGAAAAGAGAGUUAAAAAGUACGUGAAAUUGUUGAAAGGGAAGCGCUCAUGACCAGACUUGGGCUUGGUUGAUCAUCCAGGGUUCUCCCUGGUGCACUCUUCCAGCUCAGGCCAGCAUCAGUUCGCCGCGGGGGAUAAAGGCUUUGGGAAUGUGGCUCCUCCGGGAGUGUUAUAGCCCACUGCGUAAUACCCUGUAGUGGACUGAGGUUCGCGCAUCUGCAAGGAU